Molecule: ribosomal RNA, 523 nt
Filed under: uncultured bacterium
Lineage: Bacteria
Description: bacterial SSU rRNA
Rfam family: Bacterial small subunit ribosomal RNA
Source: RNAcentral
AGAGUUUGAUCCUGGCUCAGGAUGAACGCUAGCGGCAGGCCUUAUACAUGCAAGUCGAACGGUAACAUUGGUGCUUGCACCAGAUGACGAGUGGCGCACGGGUGCGUAACGCGUAUGCAACCUACCUUUUACUAGAGUAUAGCCCAGAGAAAUUUGGAUUAAUCCUCUAUAUCAUCUUUUAAUUUCAUGAUUAAUUGAUUAAAGUUUUAACGGUAAAAGAUGGGCAUGCGUCCUAUUAGUUUGUAGGUGAGGUAACGGCUCACCUAGACUACGAUAGGUAGGGGCCCUGAGAGGGGGAUCCCCCACACUGGUACUGAGACACGGACCAGACUCCUACGGGAGGCAGCAGUAAGGAAUAUUGGACAAUGGACGAAAGUCUGAUCCAGCCAUGCCGCGUGCAGGAUGAAAGCCCUAUGGGUUGUAAACUGCUUUUAUACAGGAAGAAACACUCCGACGUGUCGGAGCUUGACGGUACUGUAAGAAUAAGGAUCGGCUAACUCCGUGCCAGCCGCCGCGGUAAUUC